Molecule: ribosomal RNA, 564 nt
Filed under: Escherichia coli
Lineage: Bacteria; Pseudomonadati; Pseudomonadota; Gammaproteobacteria; Enterobacterales; Enterobacteriaceae
Description: partial 23S ribosomal RNA
Rfam family: Bacterial large subunit ribosomal RNA
Source: RNAcentral
UAUAUUCUGUAGCAAGGUUAACCGAAUAGGGGAGCCGAAGGGAAACCGAGUCUUAACUGGGCGUUAAGUUGCAGGGUAUAGACCCGAAACCCGGUGAUCUAGCCAUGGGCAGGUUGAAGGUUGGGUAACACUAACUGGAGGACCGAACCGACUAAUGUUGAAAAAUUAGCGGAUGACUUGUGGCUGGGGGUGAAAGGCCAAUCAAACCGGGAGAUAGCUGGUUCUCCCCGAAAGCUAUUUAGGUAGCGCCUCGUGAAUUCAUCUCCGGGGGUAGAGCACUGUUUCGGCAAGGGGGUCAUCCCGACUUACCAACCCGAUGCAAACUGCGAAUACCGGAGAAUGUUAUCACGGGAGACACACGGCGGGUGCUAACGUCCGUCGUGAAGAGGGAAACAACCCAGACCGCCAGCUAAGGUCCCAAAGUCAUGGUUAAGUGGGAAACGAUGUGGGAAGGCCCAGACAGCCAGGAUGUUGGCUUAGAAGCAGCCAUCAUUUAAAGAAAGCGUAAUAGCUCACUGGUCGAGUCGGCCUGCGCGGAAGAUGUAACGGGGCUAAACCAUGCAC